CGUGUCGUGAGAUGUUGGGUUAAGUCCCGCAACGAGCGCAACCCUUGAUCUUAGUUGCCAGCAUUCAGUUGGGCACUCUAAGGUGACUGCCGGUGACAAACCGGAGGAAGGUGGGGAUGACGUCAAAUCAUCAUGCCCCUUAUGACCUGGGCUACACACGUGCUACAAUGGACAGAACAAAGGACAGCGAAACCGCGAGGUUAAGCCAAUCCCACAAAUCUGUUCUCAGUUCGGAUCGCAGUCUGCAACUCGACUGCGUGAAGCUGGAAUCGCUAGUAAUCGCGGAUCAGCAUGCCGCGGUGAAUACGUUCCCGGGCCUUGUACACACCGCCCGUCACACCACGAGAGUUUGUAACACCCGAAGUCGGUGAGGUAACCUUCUAGGAGCCAGCCGCCGAAGGUGGGACAGAUGAUUGGGGU
This 420-nucleotide ribosomal RNA is filed under the name uncultured bacterium. Its description in RNAcentral is "bacterial SSU rRNA". It matches the Rfam family "Bacterial small subunit ribosomal RNA", at positions 1061 to 1481 of the family's 1533-position model. The record is from RNAcentral.